RNAcentral lists this unclassified non-coding RNA (429 nucleotides) under soil metagenome. Its description in RNAcentral is "partial contains 5.8S ribosomal RNA, internal transcribed spacer 2, and large subunit ribosomal RNA". The stretch from base 1 to 120 matches the Rfam family "5.8S ribosomal RNA", at positions 35 to 154 of the family's 154-position model. The record is from RNAcentral.
GAUGAAGAACGCAGCGAAAUGCGAUACGUAAUGUGAAUUGCAGAAUUCAGUGAAUCAUCGAAUCUUUGAACGCAUAUUGCGCUCUCUGGUAUUCCGGAGAGCAUGCUUGUUUGAGUAUCAGUAAACACCUCAACUCCCUUUUCUUUUUUGAAAUGGGAGCUGGACUUGAGUGAUCCCAACGCUUUUCUCACCGGAAAGUGGCGGGUUACUUGAAAUGCAGGUGCAGCUGGACUUUUCUCUGAGCUAUAAGCAUAUCUAUUUAGUCUGCCUAAAAACAGAUUAUUACCUUUGCUGCAGCUAACAUAAAGGAGAUUAGUUCUUGUGCUGACUGAUGCAGGAUUCACAGAGACAGCUUCGGCUGACUUUGUAAACUCGAUCUCAAAUCAAGUAAGACUACCCGCUGAACUUAAGCAUAUCAUAAGCGGAGGA